CAUGCUGUUCUCCCAUGUGGGCACUAAUGAUACUGUAGGGUAUGACCCCAAGCAGAUCAGAAGUGACUACAGGGCUCUGGGUCUGAAGGUGAAGGAGCUGGAGGUAGAGCUGAUGUUCUCAUCAUUGAUCCUUCCCGUCAAGGGUAGGGGCCCAGGCAGAGACAGCCACAUCCUGAAGGUGGAUGCAUGGCUGUGUUCACCAGGAGGGCCUCAACCACAGGAUGCUCUUCCGAGAAGAAGAAUUGCUGAGCAGAGAUGGGGGUCCACCUAUCAAGGAGAAAGUAUCUUUGGAUAGAGACUGGCUAACCUAGUAAGGUGGGCUUUAAACUAGGUCCUACAGAGACAGGAGACAAAAGCCCACAGAAGGUGGAGAAAAAGACUAGGGGAGAUGCUGUUUGGAUUCUCACAAAUACGGAGGAACUGGCUGAAAAUUUGAAGGUGGAAGGCAGUGUGGGUGAAAGCAAUCAUGAAAUGAUGAGUUCCUGAUUCUAAGGAAUGGUAGAAGGGAAAAUGAUAGAAUAAAGACAAUGGAUUUCCAGAAGACAGACUUCAGCACCCUCAGGAGAAUUGCGUUCAGUUCGAAUUUCCACCCACAAGUGCUUUUCAACAGGACUAAGCAUCUGUCUCAUCUAGAACACACGUGAAAUUUCCCCAAGUGCUGAGCUAAUGAACAACACUGACAGAAGAGGGAGGGACAGAAAUUGCUCAAUACUAAGGUAUAAAAGCCAGUUCGGCUCUUCAGUUAGGGACCAUGUCAAAAGUUCUGCACAUAAUAAAAACAUGACUCUGA
Mauremys reevesii (Reeves's turtle) is the source of this 790-nucleotide long non-coding RNA. RefSeq lists it as uncharacterized. The record is from RefSeq and is a predicted model, not a curated record. NCBI's taxonomy places the organism in Eukaryota, Metazoa, Chordata, Testudines, Geoemydidae. The transcript has 3 exons.